This 76-nucleotide transfer RNA is filed under the name Listeria ivanovii. RNAcentral describes it as "tRNA-Asp". It matches the Rfam family "tRNA". From Rfam's summary of the family: Transfer RNA (tRNA) molecules are approximately 80 nucleotides in length. The record is from RNAcentral. Lineage: Bacteria; Bacillati; Bacillota; Bacilli; Caryophanales; Listeriaceae.
GGUUCCGUGGUGUAGGGGUUAACAUGCCGGCCUGUCACGCAGGAGAUCGCGGGUUCAAAUCCCGUCGGGACCGGCA